UGCAAUAAUGCCACACUUAGGGCUAGGUGCGUACGGAAUCGCCCUCCUCGAAUCCUCUGCCGCCGGAAACGAGGUCCCUACCUCCUCCCUCUGCCUCCCCACAGCCGGAAAGGAGCUCCGAGCUCGUCCCCGACCCCGCGCCCCCGUCUCUCUGCCGCCGCCGUCGACGACGCAUCUGUGCAGCCGCUGCCGGCCUCUGCACCCGACUCCAACCUGUGCCCCCGCCGUCAACCUCCCCUCCAGACAUCCAGCGGCAAGAGUAAAGGAAUAUGCCUUCACUGCAAAAAGCUCUGCCUCCAGAACUUGCUGAUAAUGCACUCAGAUUAUUCCGCGAAUGCUUAAGGAGGGCUAAGUUCAUUGGCAAUCAGCAACACAACACGGGGCUUCUCGUUUCCAUGGUGAGGCAACAGUUCAAGAAAAACAUGCAUGAGACUGAUCCAGAGAAGAUACAGAAGAUGAAGGACGAUGCGGCAAGGGGCCUUAUCAAUCACAUCAUAUACGAGUCCGAGAAGAUGACAGGGCGCAAGUUCUCGGGUUAAGACAGUUCAGUUCUUGGAUGUUCCUUUCCUUUUUUAUUCUCGGCAUACACCGUAUGAAUAAUAUAUGACCAGCUGAUGCUUCACCAUUUUUUUUCGCACUUCUACUGCGGUUCUUGAUGUAAUUGGCGCGCACAUGCUUAGCGCUAGCUGGUUUGGUUGAUCUUUAGGUCUCUUCCAAGCGUGGAGAUGAAGAUCUUCAACAAAUUUUAGUGCUCCAGUCAGUGUGAAAACACACGUGCAAUAUUUUUUUUCUUCUGAUCUUUUUAGGGGAAUUUCCUUCUGAUGCAUUGAGGCAGC
RNAcentral lists this ribosomal RNA (836 nucleotides) under Triticum aestivum (bread wheat). RNAcentral describes it as "partial small subunit ribosomal RNA". The record is from RNAcentral. Lineage: Eukaryota; Viridiplantae; Streptophyta; Magnoliopsida; Poales; Poaceae.